GAUGAACGCUGGCGGCGUGCCUAAUACAUGCAAGUAGAACGCUGAAGGAGGAGCUUGCUCUUCUGGAUGAGUUGCGAACGGGUGAGUAACGCGUAGGUAACCUGCCUGGUAGCGGGGGAUAACUAUUGGAAACGAUAGCUAAUACCGCAUGACAACAGUUAUUGCAUGAUAACUGUUUAAAAGGGGCAACUGCUCCACUACCAGAUGGACCUGCGUUGUAUUAGCUAGUUGGUGAGGUAACGGCUCACCAAGGCGACGAUACAUAGCCGACCUGAGAGGGUGAUCGGCCACACUGGGACUGAGACACGGCCCAGACUCCUACGGGAGGCAGCAGUAGGGAAUCUUCGGCAAUGGACGGAAGUCUGACCGAGCAACGCCGCGUGAGUGAAGAAGGGUUUCGGAUCGUAAAGCUCUGUUGUAAGAGAAGAACGAGUGUGAGAGUGGAAAGUUCACACUGUGGCGGUAUCUUACCAGAAAGGGACGGCUAACUACGUG
Molecule: ribosomal RNA, 495 nt
Filed under: uncultured bacterium
Lineage: Bacteria
Description: partial 16S ribosomal RNA
Rfam family: Bacterial small subunit ribosomal RNA
Source: RNAcentral